This 1214-nucleotide long non-coding RNA is filed under the name Homo sapiens (human). The record is from RNAcentral. Lineage: Eukaryota; Metazoa; Chordata; Mammalia; Primates; Hominidae.
AGUCCUUCGCCGUCCCUCGCCGUCCUUCGCCAUCGCACGCCACCGCACCCCAUCUCUCGAAAUCUGCAGACAUCUUGAUUUUUCCCACGCUGUCUGUCAGGUCUCCGCCGCCACUCGACGCCAGGGCGCCGGGUGAGUCCACAGCAGGGCGCAUGGUCGGCUCCACUCUCACCAUCGGGGGAAACUGAGGCCCCGGGGAAGGCGGCCAGAGAGGUCAGGCCCUGUCCUUGGUGCAGUGUCUCGUCCUCUUUGCCGGAGUGAGCCCCCCAGGAUUCGCGUGUCCUCGGGAAAGACACUGGCAGGCCUUGUGGGCUGUGCUGCACCUCGGACGGCUUCGCACCAGCCAGCGCCCUCUCUCUCCUGCAGCACUCUGAUCUGCACCCCCUGAGGGGCUUCCACUGUCCGCGGGGUGAGAAUGCCCCUGGGAGUGUCACAUGACUGCCGCCCCAUGUGUGUGAGAGGCGUCCUCUGGGAGAGCAUGGAUCCUGAGGUCCCAGGAUUGUCAGCUGACCUCUGUCCUGUGUGCCCAGUGGCCCCAGGUGACGUGUCUUCAAGAAGAGGCUGAGCUGCGGUGCUUGUAAGAGUCAUGUGCUGUUCCUGGGGCUUGGAUGAUGUAGGGGAAGCAAGGUGAAAGUGGUAUCCCGUGGUUCCACGUUCUGUCCUGCUGUGGGGCUGUCCCUCACAUGCUUUCAGUGGCUGUUGCAGAGGAAGAGCCUCCGGAAAUCUGCGUGGGUAAAGUGAGCUCCCCGGGGGAACCGUCCUCCUCCCUUGAGCGCUGGUGUGUCCAUAGUGUGCUGUGAUCUGGAUUAGCAGUCUCAGCCUUAGAUCCAAGGACAGUCCAAGGAAGUCCUAAGACCAUGGAGUUGGUGAUCUGGGAUCUGGGUUUGCUGAUAUUUCUCACCGUGAAUCUCUUGGUGGUGUUUGUGGGCACGAGAGGGGCAGAGAAUGGAGAGUGAGGCUACCACAUGAAGCGUCACCAGAGCUGCUCCCUGCUGCCUGCUCAGAGCACCCCGGAUCCACUGUUCAAUCUGCACAAGAUUCGGGGUCCAGACAUGGGAGACUUCAGCUGCCUCAGAGGACCGUGGACAGGGAAGGCCAGCCUCGCAUCCCUCUGUCCAUGCCUGGAAUGACUUUAAUAACCAAGAGUUUUAUUUUUGAAUUUGUAGCUGUCGUUCACUUUUUACCCACCCAUUCAAUAAACCUUACAGAAUUGC